UAGGGAAUCUUCCGCAAUGGACGCAAGUCUGACGGAGCAACGCCGCGUGAGUGAAGAAGGAUUUCGGUUCGUAAAACUCUGUUGUUAGAGAAGAACAGCGCAUAGAGUAACUGUUAUGCGUGUGACGGUAUCUAACCAGAAAGCCACGGCUAACUACGUGCCAGCAGCCGCGGUAAUACGUAGGUGGCAAGCGUUGUCCGGAUUUAUUGGGCGUAAAGCGAGCGCAGGCGGUCAAUUAAGUCUGAUGUGAAAGCCUCCGGCUCAACCGGGGAGGGUCAUUGGAAACUGGAUGACUUGAGUGCAGAAGAGGAGAGUGGAAUUCCAUGUGUAGCGGUGAAAUGCGUGGAUAUAUGGAGGAACACCAGUGGCGAAGGCGACUGUCUGGUCUGUAACUGACGCUGGGGUUCGAAGGCGUGGGUAGCAAACAGG
RNAcentral lists this ribosomal RNA (429 nucleotides) under Bacteroidota bacterium. RNAcentral describes it as "Bacteroidetes bacterium partial 16S ribosomal RNA". It matches the Rfam family "Bacterial small subunit ribosomal RNA", at positions 355 to 776 of the family's 1533-position model. The record is from RNAcentral. Lineage: Bacteria; Pseudomonadati; Bacteroidota.